GGAAUAUUCUGGAUAUUAUGCAAUAUACUAUGCCAUGGUAUUUAACGGGAAAAAAAUUUGCAAGUCUAUGUUCAAGGAUCUACAAACCAGAGUGAAGAAAGAACUCAUGUACCGUCUUGUCACGAGCCCUAUGAAUCUGGAGAAGCUUCCAUCAUUCAUGGUUCAAGAAAUUGAAGAUUGAUGGCAUGGCCCACUAGCCUGGGCCUUGGCACCUUUUGUUUUUUAUGACUAUUUAGUAGAACUCAGUUUCAUGCAAUGUUUGUGGGAUGCAGCAGACUUGUGAAGCACUAGUGCUUUUUGUGCCUACAUAUGAUUGGUCAACCAAUCACGAAAUGGUGAUGAUCUUUGUAGAUAUUAAUCUGUGCUCAGACAUGUAAUGCCUUAUGAACAUGUAUGGCUGUUAGUUGCUUGCACGAGUAAUGAAUAUGCAUUUUCGUCCAUCACCUAUGUUGUUAACAGUUUCAGAAUGUUAGAUCCCAAUA
Panicum virgatum (switchgrass) is the source of this 482-nucleotide long non-coding RNA. RefSeq lists it as uncharacterized. The transcript has 2 exons. Lineage: Eukaryota; Viridiplantae; Streptophyta; Magnoliopsida; Poales; Poaceae. The record is from RefSeq and is a predicted model, not a curated record.